AUAAAAUGUUUUAGGACUGGGGAUAUA
This 27-nucleotide non-coding RNA is filed under the name Cricetulus griseus (Chinese hamster). The record is from RNAcentral. Lineage: Eukaryota; Metazoa; Chordata; Mammalia; Rodentia; Cricetidae.